This 448-nucleotide ribosomal RNA is filed under the name uncultured bacterium. RNAcentral's name for it is "bacterial SSU rRNA". It matches the Rfam family "Bacterial small subunit ribosomal RNA", at positions 330 to 794 of the family's 1533-position model. The record is from RNAcentral.
UCCAGACUCCUACGGGAGGCAGCAGUGGGGGAUAUUGCACAAUGGGGGAGACCCUGAUGCAGCGACGCCGCGUGUGGGAAGACGGUCCUCUGGAUUGUAAACCACUGUCCCCAGGGACGAAGAUGACGGUACCCGGGGAGGAAGCUCCGGCUAACUACGUGCCAGCAGCCGCGGUAAUACGUAGGGGGCAAGCGUUAUCCGGAUUUACUGGGUGUAAAGGGAGCGUAGGCGGCUGUGUAAGCCAGAAGUGAAAGCCCGGGGCUCAACUCCGGGACUGCUUUUGGAACUACAUGGCUCGAUUGCAGGAGAGGCAAGUGGAAUUCCUAGUGUAGCGGUGAAAUGCGUAGAUAUUAGGAGGAACACCAGUGGCGAAGGCGGCUUGCUGGACUGUAAAUGACGCUGAGGCUCGAAAGCGUGGGGAGCAAACAGGAUUAGAUACCCCUGUACC